UACGGAGGGUGCAAGCGUUGCUCGGAAUCACUGGGCGUAAAGCGCCCGCAGGCGGCCUGACAAGUCGGAUGUGAAGGCCCUGGGCUCAACUCAGGAAUUGCAUUCGAAACUGGCAGGCUUGAGUACGGGAGAGGGGGGUGGAAUUCCUGGUGUAGUGGUGAAAUGCGUAGAUAUCGGGAGGAAUACCAGUGGCGAAGGCGGCCUUCUGGGCCGUUCCUGACGCUCAGACGCGAAAGCUAGGGGAGCAAACGGG
Molecule: ribosomal RNA, 253 nt
Filed under: uncultured bacterium
Lineage: Bacteria
Description: partial 16S ribosomal RNA
Rfam family: Bacterial small subunit ribosomal RNA
Source: RNAcentral